CAGAGAAUAGUUUAGUUUAGAAUCCUAGCUUUGGGAGUUAGGGGNGGGGGGUUAGAAUCCCCCUUCNUUUG
RNAcentral lists this transfer RNA (71 nucleotides) under Geophagus steindachneri (redhump eartheater). RNAcentral's name for it is "tRNA-Pro". It matches the Rfam family "tRNA". Rfam says of the family: Transfer RNA (tRNA) molecules are approximately 80 nucleotides in length. Their secondary structure includes four short double-helical elements and three loops (D, anti-codon, and T loops). Further hydrogen bonds mediate the characteristic L-shaped molecular structure. tRNAs have two regions of fundamental functional importance: the anti-codon, which is responsible for specific mRNA codon recognition, and the 3' end, to which the tRNAs corresponding amino acid is attached (by aminoacyl-tRNA synthetases). tRNAs cope with the degeneracy of the genetic code in two manners: having more than one tRNA (with a specific anti-codon) for a particular amino acid; and 'wobble' base-pairing, i.e. permitting non-standard base-pairing at the 3rd anti-codon position. Lineage: Eukaryota; Metazoa; Chordata; Actinopteri; Cichliformes; Cichlidae. The record is from RNAcentral.